Molecule: ribosomal RNA, 537 nt
Filed under: Anophryoides haemophila
Lineage: Eukaryota; Ciliophora; Oligohymenophorea; Philasterida; Glauconematidae
Description: partial Bacterial small subunit ribosomal RNA
Source: RNAcentral
AACGCUCGCACCCUCUGUAUUACCGCGGCUGCUGGCACAGAGUUAGCCGGUGCUUAUUCUGCGAGUAACGUCCACUAUCCUAGAGUAUUAAUCCAAGUAGCCUCCUCCUCGCUUAAAGUGCUUUACAACCAAAAGGCCUUCUUCACACACGCGGCAUGGCUGGAUCAGGGUUCCCCCCAUUGUCCAAUAUUCCCCACUGCUGCCUCCCGUAGGAGUCUGGGCCGUGUCUCAGUCCCAGUGUGGCUGGUCGUCCUCUCAGACCAGCUACGGAUCGUCGGCUUGGUAGGCCUUUACCCCACCAACUAGCUAAUCUGCCAUCGGCCGCCCCUGUAGCGGGAGGUCCUAAGAUCCCCCCCUUUCCUCCGUAGAGCGUAUGCGGUAUUAAUCCGGCUUUCGCCGGGCUAUCCCCCACUACAGGACACGUUCCGAUGUAUUACUCACCCGUUCGCCACUCGCCACCAGGGUUGCCCCCGUGCUGCCGUUCGACUUGCAUGUGUAAGGCAUGCCGCCAGCGUUCAAUCUGAGCCAGGAUCAAAC